RNAcentral lists this ribosomal RNA (448 nucleotides) under uncultured bacterium. RNAcentral's name for it is "SSU rRNA". It matches the Rfam family "Bacterial small subunit ribosomal RNA", at positions 26 to 518 of the family's 1533-position model. The record is from RNAcentral.
AGAGCGAACGCUGGCGGCAGGCUUAACACAUGCAAGUCGAGCGGGCGUAGCAAUACGUCAGCGGCAGACGGGCGAGUAACGCGUGGGAACGUACCUUUUGGUUCGGAACAACCCAGGGAAACUUGGGCUAAUACCGGAUAAGCCCUUACGGGGAAAGAUUUAUCGCCGAAAGAUCGGCCCGCGUCUGAUUAGCUAGUUGGUGAGGUAAUGGCUCACCAAGGCGACGAUCAGUAGCUGGUCUGAGAGGAUGAUCAGCCACAUUGGGACUGAGACACGGCCCAAACUCCUACGGGAGGCAGCAGUGGGGAAUAUUGGACAAUGGGCGCAAGCCUGAUCCAGCCAUGCCGCGUGAGUGAUGAAGGCCCUAGGGUUGUAAAGCUCUUUUGUGCGGGAAGAUAAUGACGGUACCGCAAGAAUAAGCCCCGGCUAACUUCGCACCAGCAGCCGC